GCUUAUCCAGUACUUCACACUUGUAGGCACUGGGUGCGUUUGAGUGGUAAACCGAAAGUAGCCGGAAAUCGAUGAAGGCGAUGGGGAGACACAUUAUGGACAAGCUCCUGUACAGAUUGCAGCGGGCAUGCAACGCCUUCCUCUUGAUCUUGAUUUACUUACAGUUUGUCUGCACCAUUGAGAUGAUAUUUAUCAGCUCACUAUCAAAUCAAGUACACUUGCCUCAAGAGGUGUGCAGGGUCUCUCCAAUCUGUAUAGUCUAGUCAAUGCUGAAAUGGAAGAAGGAAAUGCCCCAUCAGUUGUUGCUGGCGAAAUGAGACGUCUUAAACUGACUUUCAGAACAGCACCUUCGACAGCUGAUUGAAAUGGAUCUGCCUGUACCUUGCAUCGCCAAACUGCUUGUCACCUCAGCACAAACUGACCAACACAGAAUGCAGGAAUACAGUAUUGUGGUGAGGAGAACAUGCAGCCAAAUGAUAGACGAGGAGCUGGACAAUCUGGUGGCCACAAUCAAGACAAGUUCACCACAAUUAGGAUGGUGUGAGAACUUCUGAAAGCAAUGGGUCAUCAAGUCCAGUGGACCCGAGUGUGGGACUCAGUGCUUCGUGUAGAUGCUGCAGGAAUACAGGAAAGAGUGGCAGGACUUGGAUGUGUUGUCAGAAGAACAUACUCUGUUCAGGCUCCUCUUUCCGUCAUACACGUGGACACCAACGACAAGAUGAUCAGAUAUGGUUUUGUAAUAUUUGGUGGCAUAGACGGCUUCUCAAGAAAGAUCAUGUACCUCGGUGCAGCAACCAACAACAAAGCAUCAACCGCCCUUGGAUUCUUGACUGGACUCUGUAGCGAAGCAAGGCUUUCCAUUGAGGUGAGAGCAGACCAAGGCAUGGAGAAUGUGGACAUCGCAACAUGCAUGUUUCAUGUCUGAGGUUGUGGCAGGGGAAGCUUUAUCUCUGGUAAAAGUGUUCACGAUCAACAGUCAUUUCCACCACUAUUUGUUUGUGCUGAAUACAUAGAUUAUGACCACAUAUUAUUGAAAUUUGAUCUGGUCUAUACAUUCUAGAGUAUAGUUAGGCAGGUGGCCUACACCUAAAUUAUAACCCCUGCACUGAGUAGAGAUAACAAGCUGUGCUGUUUCAUGUAUAACUGGUAUUUCAAUGCUUUGCAAAGGAGUGCCUUAUACAGACAAGGAGUGCCUUAUACAGACAAGGAGUGCCUUAUAGACCACGUUUCCUUUCAGUUUUUUGGCAAGUUAAGUCAUACCGUAUAAAAAAGAUAUACAAUGACAGUUUUAUUGGAAACAGGAAGUGUCGGUAAAAUCUGAUAAAUGCCGACAGAUCAUUUGUUCGUUGGACAUGGUGCGAUCUUUAAAAACUAAUUGUGUGAGAAUUGUUGGUGGAAACGCCUUUAAGCGCAAAUAAUUAUAUAAUAACCAUCAUAUUUAAGUAAAUUUAGUCACGAGAUGAAACAGUAUGUUGUGUGGUCCUCCCACUAUGCCUCGGGAAACCAUGCAGUUCAUUAGGCUACAGAUUAAAUAAAUUAUGAACUUCACAGGGUGGUGAAAGUGCACAGUGAUCUUGAUGCUCCUUUCCACUAGAUAUUUAGGGUCUUAUUCUGGUGACAUGAUGAUCGAUACUUGGCUGCCAAUUGACAAAUGAUUCUUGUUCUUAUCAAUAACAAUCUCAUCAUGUAGACUAGCCUACAUUGCGUGAAGCUGUUGUAUCAGCAAACUGUUGUCUAGAGCGCAGGUACCAAGACCAGAGUGGGCGCGUUUGCUAUUUAACCCAAACAUUUGUGACAACUAUCCGUAGAGUUGAAAAUGAAAUGGAUUUUGUGUACACUAUGUCAUCACACACUGAUUUUGGAUCUUCAACAAGUCUGUUUGGUAGAAAACACCACUAUUAGGAAAAUGUGCAUAUUAUCUUUACCCAGACUUCAGAAUAUUCGCAUAAAAAAAUCUGUAGCCAAUUGGAUGGAAACGUAGCUAUGGAAACCUAGCUAUAGAAUCCAAUGUCAAUUCAAUCUCUCACAUGCAUUGAAGAAAACAGUUCAAUUCAACAGGAGACGGUGAAGUAGAAAUGCAAAGUACCUUAGAAUACUUUGACCAAUUACAUCUCCUUAUGCACAGAAAGGUUACAAUAAUAGUAAUAACUUGUGUGGGACAGAGGACUGGGUAUGAUGUUCAAUGUUUCAUUAUGUUGCUUCAAAUGUUCUCUCAUAUGCUUUCAGGUUUGAACAGUUAUGGCAGGACUUGUAGAUGGCCAUGUCAAACAUAUUUGACAGGUCAAGGGAGCCCUCAUCUUCCAAACUGUGUAGGACAUUGUAAAACAGCCUUCACUUAUUCUGUGUGCACCAUGUAUUCCUCCCACGCCUCCAAGCAGACCUAGACACCUUAACCAAUGGAUGGGAUAAACAUUCUCUGCACACCGAGCAAAAUCUGACCCCCUACCAGCUAUGGGAAAUGGGACAAGCAGAGAAUCCUGUCACCUUCCCCGGCAAUGUGGAAGUAUAGAUUUAAAGUAUCCACUAUGAAAAUGUAAUUAAGUCUUAUCUAAAAAAUAAAUAAAAAACGGGUUGUUUGUAAAUGAACAUGAUCUUCCAUGUUCAGGAUUUAAACAACUGCCUGCCUGUCGGAGGAGCAUGGCCAGGGAAUUUUGGUCCCACCAGUGGAGUGCCCGCUGACAGAGCAGGAUAUGACACUGCUCAGAGCAGCCAUCGACCCAACCUCACCAUCGAGACUAUGGACAAGAUAUUUAUGCAUCUGUUUUGAACUACGUGCUGCUACUUAUGGAUGAAUGAUCCUUACACCUCUGCUGAUACUGUCUCAAGGAAUAACCGUCUAGUCCAGUAAUUCUAGAAUGCUGCAAUGUUAUGUAAUGUGGUCACAGUAAAAUUAUAACAAUUGGUUGAUUUUGAUUGGCCACUAAUGUUGUGGAAAAUUUUAUCCAACGAUUAAGGCAGCAACUAUAUAAUUGCAUAAUAGAUCAAUCUUUAAUCAAGCAGUUGCAGGGGAGAUCUGAUUUCACAGGGAAGUACUCGAGGAGUAAAUGGUGACAUGUCCGGUGUUAUAGUGGGAGGUGAUCAGUUAAUGAUAUUGUUACACAACAGUUAUUUUAUACAAGCAACAGUUCCAGAACACAAUGGCCUUGUUUUAGUGUGCAGACAUACCAGGAGUCUAUGAAAGGCAUGACAUCAGUCUAACACAGAACAGGCUACAGAACAGCUCACCCCAAAUUCGACCACCACUCUAUGGACAACAGAAUCAAUGUUUAUCUAAAUGACUAAAUGGAGAUGUUUGAAUACAAAAGAGAUGCAGUCAUUAAAAUGUUCAAACUUUCCAUUUUUUUUCUAUAUGGGGAAAAGUGAUCCUUUUGACAAAAAAAUAAACCUUCAAAUAGAAAAAAUCGACCCUGAAUUAUGUGAUACAUGUAACGUCAACUAAGCAAAAAAAGAAAUGUCCUCUCACUGUCAACUGCGUUUAUUUUCAGCAAA
Molecule: long non-coding RNA, 3489 nt
Organism: Oncorhynchus tshawytscha (Chinook salmon)
Lineage: Eukaryota; Metazoa; Chordata; Actinopteri; Salmoniformes; Salmonidae
Exons: 5
Source: RefSeq, a predicted model, not a curated record